GGCCCGGUAGUUCAACGGAUAGAAUAGAGGUUUCCUAAACCUUAGAUAGCGGUUCGAUUCCGCUCCGGGCUACAA
RNAcentral lists this transfer RNA (75 nucleotides) under Bacteroidales bacterium. RNAcentral's name for it is "tRNA-Arg". It matches the Rfam family "tRNA". From Rfam's summary of the family: Transfer RNA (tRNA) molecules are approximately 80 nucleotides in length. Their secondary structure includes four short double-helical elements and three loops (D, anti-codon, and T loops). Further hydrogen bonds mediate the characteristic L-shaped molecular structure. tRNAs have two regions of fundamental functional importance: the anti-codon, which is responsible for specific mRNA codon recognition, and the 3' end, to which the tRNAs corresponding amino acid is attached (by aminoacyl-tRNA synthetases). tRNAs cope with the degeneracy of the genetic code in two manners: having more than one tRNA (with a specific anti-codon) for a particular amino acid; and 'wobble' base-pairing, i.e. permitting non-standard base-pairing at the 3rd anti-codon position. The record is from RNAcentral. Lineage: Bacteria; Pseudomonadati; Bacteroidota; Bacteroidia; Bacteroidales.